Molecule: unclassified non-coding RNA, 237 nt
Filed under: uncultured fungus
Lineage: Eukaryota; Fungi
Description: sequence contains ITS2
Rfam family: 5.8S ribosomal RNA (bases 1-52)
Source: RNAcentral
AACGCACAUUGCGCCCUCUGGUAUUCCGGGGGGCAUGCCUGUUCGAGCGUCAUUACAACCCUCAAGCUCAGCUUGGUAUUGGGUGCUACCAUUUAGGUACACCUCAAAAUCAGUGGCGGUGCCAUCUGGCUUCUAGCGUAGUAAUACUUUUCGCUAUGGAGCUCUGGUGUAUGCUUGCCAUCAACCUCUAUUUUACUGGUUGACCUCGGAUCAGGUAGGGAUACCCGCUGAACUUAA